Molecule: ribosomal RNA, 450 nt
Filed under: uncultured organism
Description: partial 16S ribosomal RNA
Rfam family: Bacterial small subunit ribosomal RNA
Source: RNAcentral
CACUCCUGCGGGAGGCAGCAGUGGGGAAUUUUACGCAAUGGGGGAAACCCUGACGUAGCGACACCGCGUGAGCGAAGAAGCCCUUUGGGGUGUAAAGCUCUGUCAGCUGGAACGAAAACAAUGACGGUACCAGCAGAGGAAGCAUCGGCUAACUACGUGCCAGCAGCCGCGGUAAGACGUAGGAUGCGAGCGUUGUCCGGAUUUAUUGGGCGUAAAGAGUUCGUAGGUGGUUUGUUAAGUUUGGUGUUAAAGAUCGGGGCUCAACCCUGGGACUGCACUGAAUACUGGCAGACUCGAGUGUGGUAGAGGCUAGUGGAAUUCCCAGUGUAGCGGUGAAAUGCGUAGAUAUUGGGAAGAACACCGGUGGCGUAGGCGACUAGCUGGGCCAUAACUGACGCUGAGGAACGAAAGCCAGGGGAGCGAAUGGGAUUAGAUACCCCAGUAGUCCCA